AUGCUUAACACAUGCAAGUCGAACGAGAAAGUGGAGCAAUCCAUGAGUAAAGUGGCGACCGGGUGAGUAACACGUGACUAACCUACCCUAGAGUGGGGAAUAACCUCGGGAAACCGGGGCUAAUACCGCAUAACAUCGCGAGGGGAAGAUCCUUGCGAUCAAAGGAGCAAUUCGCCCAAGGAGGGGGUCGCGGCUGAUUAGUUAGUUGGUGAGGUAACGGCUCACCAAGACAGAGAUCAGUAGCCGGCCUGAGAGGGCGCACGGCCACACUGGAACUGAAACACGGUCCAGACUCCUACGGGAGGCAGCAGUGGGGAAUUUUGCGCAAUGGGGGAAACCCUGACGCAGCAACGCCGCGUGGAGGAUGAAGUCCCUUGGGACGUAAACUCCUUUCGACCGGGACGAUUAUGACGGUACCGGUGGAAGAAGCCCCGGCUAACUUCGUGCCAGCAGCCGCGGUAAUACGAGGGGGGCGAGCGUUGUUCGGAAUUAUUGGGCGUAAAGGGUGCGUAGGCGGUGCGGUAAGUCACCUGUGAAACCUCUGGGCUUAACUCAGAGCCUGCAGGCGAAACUGCCGUGCUGGAGUGUGGGAGAGGUGCGUGGAAUUCCCGGUGUAGCGGUGAAAUGCGUAGAUAUCGGAAGGAACACCAGUGG
This 654-nucleotide ribosomal RNA is filed under the name uncultured bacterium. Its description in RNAcentral is "bacterial SSU rRNA". It matches the Rfam family "Bacterial small subunit ribosomal RNA", at positions 44 to 715 of the family's 1533-position model. The record is from RNAcentral.